UAGCUAGUUGGUGGGGUAAAGGCCUACCAAGGCGAUGAUGGUUAACCGGCCUGAGAGGGUGUUCGGUCACACUGGAACUGAGAUACGGUCCAGACUCCUACGGGAGGCAGCAGUGAGGAAUAUUGCGCAAUGGGCGAAAGCCUGACGCAGCGACGCCGCGUGGAGGAUGAAGGUCUUCGGAUUGUAAACUUCUGUUAAGUGGGAAGAAAGGGCUGCUUUUAAUAGAAGCAGUUAAUGACGGUACCAUUAAAGAAAGCACCGGCUAAACUCGUGCCAGCAGCCGCGGUAAUACGAGUGGUGCAAGCGUUAUUCGGAAUAAUUGGGCGUACAGGGUGUGUAGGCGGUAUGUUAAGUCUGUUGUUAAAGACUCCGGCCUAACCGGAGACAGGCAGCGGAAACUGGCGUACUAGAGGGUGGAAGAGAGAAGUGGAAUUCUCGGUGUAGCGGUAAAAUGCGUAGAUAUCGAGAGGAACACCGAUGGCGAAGGCAGCUUCUUGGUCCAUACCUGACGCUGAAACACGAAAGCGUGGGGAGCAAACAGGAUUAGAUACCCUGGUAGUCCACGCUGUAAACGAUGAUCACUAGACGUUGGUUCUGUUUUACAGAAUCAGUGUCGCAGCUAACGCG
Molecule: ribosomal RNA, 627 nt
Filed under: uncultured bacterium
Lineage: Bacteria
Description: bacterial SSU rRNA
Rfam family: Bacterial small subunit ribosomal RNA
Source: RNAcentral